Molecule: antisense RNA, 508 nt
Filed under: Streptomyces sp. SirexAA-E
Lineage: Bacteria; Bacillati; Actinomycetota; Actinomycetes; Kitasatosporales; Streptomycetaceae
Description: Saccharopolyspora sRNA 350
Rfam family: Saccharopolyspora sRNA 350
Source: Rfam by way of RNAcentral
GUGCCGUGUACGACCAGGUGGCGUCGCCGUCCACCAGCGUGUGGUCGCCGAAGUAGGCGCCGUCGGCGAGGACUCCGAGCACCGUCUCGUCGCCGUACAGCCCGGAACCGAUCUUCUCCACCUUGCCGUGGGCCAGCAGGUAGACGCGGUCCGCCGCCUCCCCCGACAUCGUGAGCAGCUCACCCGGCGCCACUUCACGCUGUUCGCACCUGCGGGCCAGCUCGGCCAGGACCUCCUCGUCCCCGAAGUUCCGCAGCGCCGGCAGCUCGCCGAGCUCGGCGGGGAUGACCGCGACCUGGUCACCGGUCUGCACGAAGGUCACCCGGCCGUCGCCGACCGAGUAGCUCAGCCUCCGGUUCACCCGGUAGGUGCCGCCCUGCACCUGCACCCACGGCAGCAUCCGCAGCAGCCACCGCGAGGUGAUCUCCUGCAUCUGCGGGGCGGACUUGGUCGUCGUCGCGAGGUUCCGCGCGGCCGCCGUGCCGAGACUCUGCUGCGGCGGCUGCGU